ACGCGUUGGGAGCUCUCCCAUAUGGUCGACCUGCAGGCGGCCGCGAAUUCACUAGUGAUUAGAGUUUGAUCAUGGCUCAGAUUGAACGCUGGCGGCAGGCCUAACACAUGCAAGUCGAGCGGUAGAGAGGUGCUUGCACCUCUUGAGAGCGGCGGACGGGUGAGUAAUGCCUAGGAAUCUGCCUGGUAGUGGGGGAUAACGCUCGGAAACGGACGCUAAUACCGCAUACGUCCUACGGGAGAAAGCAGGGGACCUUCGGGCCUUGCGCUAUCAGAUGAGCCUAGGUCGGAUUAGCUAGUUGGUGGGGUAAUGGCUCACCAAGGCGACGAUCCGUAACUGGUCUGAGAGGAUGAUCAGUCACACUGGAACUGAGACACGGUCCAGACUCCUACGGGAGGCAGCAGUGGGGAAUAUUGGACAAUGGGCGAAAGCCUGAUCCAGCCAUGCCGCGUGUGUGAAGAAGGUCUUCGGAUUGUAAAGCACUUUAAGUUGGGAGGAAGGGCAUUAACCUAAUACGUUAGUGUUUUGACGUUACCGACAGAAUAAGCACCGGCUAACUCUGUGCCAGCAGCCGCGGUAAAUCGAAUUCCCGCGGCCGCCAUGGCGGCCGGGAGCAUGCGACGUC
Molecule: ribosomal RNA, 625 nt
Filed under: uncultured Gammaproteobacteria bacterium
Lineage: Bacteria; Pseudomonadati; Pseudomonadota; Gammaproteobacteria
Description: bacterial SSU rRNA
Rfam family: Bacterial small subunit ribosomal RNA
Source: RNAcentral